CCGUAACUAUAACGGUCCUAAGGUAGCGAAAUUCCUUGUCGGGUAAGUUCCGACCUGCACGAAUGGCGUAACGACUUGAGCGCUGUCUCCACCAUGAACUCGGCGAAAUUGCAGUACGAGUAAAGAUGCUCGUUACGCGCGGAAAGACGGAAAGACCCCGGGACCUUUACUAUAUCUUGAUAUUGGUACUCGGAACGUUCUGUGUAGCAUAGGUGGGAGACUUUGAAGCGGCACGCCAGUGUUCGUGGAGUCAAAAAAUGAAAUACCACUCUGAACGUUUUGAGUUUCUAACCUCGGCCCAUUAUCUGGGUCAGGGACAGUGUCUGGUGGGUAGUUUAACUGGGGCGGUUGCCUCCCAAAAAGUAACGGAGGCGCUCAAAGGUUCCCUCAGCCUGGUUGGUAAUCAGGUGUCGAGUGUAAGUGCACAAGGGAGCUUAACUGUGAGACAGACAUGUCGAGCAGGUGCGAAAGCAGGAACUAGUGAUCCGGCGGUGGCUUGUGGAAGCGCCGUCGCUCAACGGAUAAAAGGUACCCCGGGGAUAACAGGCUGAUCUUGCCCAAGAGUCCAUAUCGACGGCAAGGUUUGGCACCUCGAUGUCGGCUCGUCUCAUCCUGGGGCUGGAGUAGGUCCCAAGGGUUGGGCUGUUCGCCCAUUAAAGAGGCACGCGAGCUGGGUUCAGAACGUCGUGAGACAGUUCGGUCCAUAUCCGGUGUAGGCGUUAGAAUAUUGAGAGGAGCCUUCUUUAGUACGAGAGGACCGAGAAGGACAUACCUCUGGUGUACCAGUUAUCGUGCCAACGGUAAACGCUGGGUAGCUAUGUAUGGAGUGGAUAACCGCUGAAAGCAUCUAAGUGGGAAGCCCACCUCAAGAUGAGUAUUCCCAUGGCGUUAGCCAGUAAGGUCACGGGAAGAACACCCGUUGAUAGGCUCUACGUGGAAGCGUGGCAACACGUGAAGCGGAGGAGUACUAAUAGACCGAGGGCUUGACCAA
Molecule: ribosomal RNA, 991 nt
Filed under: freshwater metagenome
Description: bacterial LSU rRNA
Rfam family: Bacterial large subunit ribosomal RNA
Source: RNAcentral